RNAcentral lists this ribosomal RNA (303 nucleotides) under Triticum aestivum (bread wheat). RNAcentral describes it as "partial small subunit ribosomal RNA". The record is from RNAcentral. Lineage: Eukaryota; Viridiplantae; Streptophyta; Magnoliopsida; Poales; Poaceae.
AUGCUCACGCGUGCUAAACGCGGCCUUUUUCAGCCCGUUGAUCGUCUCAACCUAACGGUGUCUCACUCGACUCCCUCCCUUGUUCCCAAAACAUACCGGGGUGCUCUUCAUGAUCCUCACUGGCGUCGUGCCAUGCUCGAGGAAUUUGAUGCUCUUGUUGCUAAUGGGACUUGGUCACUCGUUCCACGCCCUUCUCGUGCUCAUGUUGUUUCAGGGAAAUGUAUCUUCAAACACAAGUUCCACGCCGACGGCAGCCUUGCCCGCUACAAGGCUCGAUGGGUGGUCCGUGGAUACUUUCAGUAG